Long non-coding RNA from Paramisgurnus dabryanus, 489 nucleotides. RefSeq lists it as uncharacterized. The record is from RefSeq and is a predicted model, not a curated record. Lineage: Eukaryota; Metazoa; Chordata; Actinopteri; Cypriniformes; Cobitidae.
UGCUGUGGUGCCUGCAUCUUGGGUAGAGGAGGUGGAUGGGGUAAGGUUAUACGCAGGCAUGACAAGUCCAUAAUUUGGUGAUAGUAAAAUGUGAUUAACUAUUUUCUGAAUUUUUUUUAGGUACUAAUUUGCUACUGGCCUCAUAGAAAUGCCGCUGGCUUGGCAAAGGCCUCCAACAGGCCAGAUAAGGAGCUGUGGAGUCAAUAUAAAAUAUGAAUACUUUCUGAGACUGAUGACUACAAGACAGCCAAGGAGCGAGCAAAAAGGGCCAUUGAAACCUCUAAUGUAGAGAGUGAGGAGGAGAUGGUAAAAGUGCAGAAGAAGAAAGGCACAUCAAGAUACUGGACAGGUAGUAAAGAUUAUGAGAAUUUACAGACAGGGUCACACAUACGGGCUCAUUCUGAAGUAAUAGGAGAAUGUGAGAUGCCACGUAAAAAAUGAGGAAAGUGUCCACAUCCUCUCAAAACCCACCACCAACCCUCCCUAAGC